Molecule: long non-coding RNA, 284 nt
Filed under: Capsella rubella
Lineage: Eukaryota; Viridiplantae; Streptophyta; Magnoliopsida; Brassicales; Brassicaceae
Description: long non-coding RNA (CRUB_LNC002064)
Source: RNAcentral
UCCAUUUCAUCUACUGAGUUUUUCAUUCUGGGAAACAAAGAAAAUCCAGCCAGUUUCUUCCAGUAAACUUUUGCAAAAGGUGAUGAGUACACAUCAAAAGUUAUCUUGAGUAGAAAUCUGCGAAAAUACUGAAGUUCCGGCUGACGAAACAAGAUUCCGGCAAGGAACUGGUUCAGAUCGGUGAUGAAGUUACAGCUAUACGUGGAUCUACUCGGAAUCACCACGUCUGCCCUACACGUGUUUAUUUUUUAGUUAGUCUUAUGUAAUGCAAAUGUGGUGAUGGG